This 57-nucleotide transfer RNA is filed under the name Loxodonta africana (African savanna elephant). Lineage: Eukaryota; Metazoa; Chordata; Mammalia; Proboscidea; Elephantidae. The record is from Rfam by way of RNAcentral.
UGGCAAAGUGUUUAAGCACUCGGCUGCUAACCGAAAGGCUGGUGGUUUGAACCCACC